RNAcentral lists this ribosomal RNA (405 nucleotides) under uncultured bacterium. RNAcentral describes it as "bacterial SSU rRNA". It matches the Rfam family "Bacterial small subunit ribosomal RNA", at positions 355 to 776 of the family's 1533-position model. The record is from RNAcentral.
UGAGGAAUAUUGCACAAUGGGCGCAAGCCUGAUGCAGCGACGCCGCGUGGGUGAUGAAGGCUUUCGGGUCGUAAAGCCCUUUUCUAGAUGACGAGUAAGGACGGUAGUCUAGGAAUAAGUGUCGGCUAACUACGUGCCAGCAGCCGCGGUAAAACGUAGGACACAAGCGUUAUCCGGAGUUACUGGGCGUAAAGGGCGUGUAGGCGGACGUGUAAGUCUAUUCUGAAAGCUCCUGGCUAAACUGGGAGAGGCGAAUGGAGACUGCAUAUCUAGAGUGAGGAAGAGGAAAGUGGAAUUCCGCGUGUAGUGGUGAAAUGCGUAGAGAUGCGGAGGAACACCAGUGGCGAAAGCGACUUUCUGGUCCUUAACUGACGCUGAGGCGCGAAAGCAUGGGGAGCGAACGGG